UUGCUAUGAUGACCAUCUUAGGACACCUUUGGAAUGCCUGUGAAAAAAAAAUCGUAUUUCUGAGCAAC
This 68-nucleotide small nucleolar RNA is filed under the name Tinamus guttatus (white-throated tinamou). RNAcentral describes it as "Small nucleolar RNA SNORD58". It matches the Rfam family "Small nucleolar RNA SNORD58". From Rfam's summary of the family: snoRNA U58 is found in introns 1, 3 and 6 of the ribosomal protein RPL17 gene in humans. The record is from Rfam by way of RNAcentral. Lineage: Eukaryota; Metazoa; Chordata; Aves; Tinamiformes; Tinamidae.